GACGAACGCUGGCGGCGUGCCUAACACAUGCAAGUCGAGCGAGGAGAGUUCCUUCGGGAAUAACCUAGCGGCGGACGGGUGAGUAACACGUGGGCAACCUGCCUUGUAGAGGGAAUAGCCUUCCGAAAGGAAGAUUAAUACCGCAUAACAUUACAGUUUCGCAUGAAACAGUAAUUAAAGGAGCAAUCCGCUACAAGAUGGGCCCGCGGCGCAUUAGCUAGUUGGUGAGGUAACGGCUCACCAAGGCGACGAUGCGUAGCCGACCUGAGAGGGUGAUCGGCCACAUUGGGACUGAGACACGGCCCAGACUCCUACGGGAGGCAGCAGUGGGGAAUAUUGCACAAUGGGGGAAACCCUGAUGCAGCAACGCCGCGUGAGUGAUGAAGGUUUUCGGAUCGUAAAGCUCUGUCUUCGGGGACGAUAAUGACGGUACCCGAGGAGGAAGCCACGGCUAACUACGUG
Molecule: ribosomal RNA, 462 nt
Filed under: uncultured bacterium
Lineage: Bacteria
Description: bacterial SSU rRNA
Rfam family: Bacterial small subunit ribosomal RNA
Source: RNAcentral